CUCUAAUACAAGUUCAGAUUAUAUAUUUUAAGGAAUAUAUACAGUAAAGGUAUUAGUAUUAAAGAGAUUUAUUCCUUCCGUAAAAGGUAAAAAUGUAUCAAUAAAAUAGGUAUUAGUAGAAUAAAAUAGGAUUUGAAU
Molecule: non-coding RNA, 138 nt
Filed under: chicken gut metagenome
Description: RT-14 RNA
Rfam family: RT-14 RNA
About the family: Cloacimonetes, Firmicutes, Proteobacteria. Nearby to self-splicing intron genes
Source: RNAcentral